UGCCUGUAAGACUGGGAUAACUCCGGGAAACCGGGGCUAAUACCGGAUGCUUGAUUGAACCGCAUGGUUCAAUUAUAAAAGGUGGCUUUUAGCUACCACUUACAGAUGGACCCGCGGCGCAUUAGCUAGUUGGUGAGGUAACGGCUCACCAAGGCGACGAUGCGUAGCCGACCUGAGAGGGUGAUCGGCCACACUGGGACUGAGACACGGCCCAGACUCCUACGGGAGGCAGCAGUAGGGAAUCUUCCGCAAUGGACGAAAGUCUGACGGAGCAACGCCGCGUGAGUGAUGAAGGUUUUCGGAUCGUAAAACUCUGUUGUUAGGGAAGAACAAGUACCGUUCGAAUAGGGCGGUACCUUGACGGUACCUAACCAGAAAGCCACGGCUAACUACGUGCCAGCAGCCGCGGUAAUACGUAGGUGGCAAGCGUUGUCCGGAAUUAUUGGGCGUAAAGCGCGCGCAGGCGGUUUCUUAAGUCUGAUGUGAAAGCCCCCGGCUCAACCGGGGAGGGUCAUUGGAAACUGGGGAACUUGAGUGCAGAAGAGGAGAGUGAAUUCCACGUGUAGCGGUGAAAUGCGUAGAGAUGUGGAGGAACACCAGUGGCGAAGGCGACUCUCUGGUCUGUAACUGACGCUGAGGCGCGAAAGCGUGGGGAGCGAACAGGAUUAGAUACCCUGGUAGUCCACGCCGUAAACGAUGAGUGCUAAGUGUUAGAGGGUUUCCGCCCUUUAGUGCUGCAGCAAACGCAUUAAGCACUCCGCCUGGGGAGUACGGUCGCAAGACUGAAACUCAAAGGAAUUGACGGGGGCCCGCACAAGCGGUGGAGCAUGUGGUUUAAUUCGAAGCAACGCGAAGAACCUUACCAGGUCUUGACAUCCUCUGACAACCCUAGAGAUAGGGCUUCCCCUUCGGGGGCAGAGUGACAGGUGGUGCAUGGUUGUCGUCAGCUCGUGUCGUGAGAUGUUGGGUUAAGUCCCGCAACGAGCGCAACCCUUGAUCUUAGUUGCCAGCAUUCAGUUGGGCACUCUAAGGUGACUGCCGGUGACAAACCGGAGGAAGGUGGGGAUGACGUCAAAUCAUCAUGCCCCUUAUGACCUGGGCUACACACGUGCUACAAUGGGCAGAACAAAGGGCAGCGAAGCCGCGAGGCUAAGCCAAUCCCACAAAUCUGUUCUCAGUUCGGAUCGCAGUCUGCAACUCGACUGCGUGAAG
This 1212-nucleotide ribosomal RNA is filed under the name Bacillus licheniformis. RNAcentral describes it as "bacterial SSU rRNA". It matches the Rfam family "Bacterial small subunit ribosomal RNA", at positions 127 to 1325 of the family's 1533-position model. The record is from RNAcentral. Lineage: Bacteria; Bacillati; Bacillota; Bacilli; Caryophanales; Bacillaceae.